AGAAGGCAGAGGUAUUUGUACCAAUUCCCUGACCGCACAGGUAGUCAAAAUACACGCAAGGAGGGUUGAUGAACUCUGCCAGCUUAAUGCAGCAGUUAACAAAUCUGCCAUCCUGGUGAUAUUUCUUGUCGGUCACGAACGCCUUCACAAGCUGCUCCAGGAGACGCGGCAGGCGCUUCUGUUUUUCCUGCGGCGGGAGAGAGCCCUCUACCCACUGCACGUACCUGUCCCAUGGCUCCAGCGGGUCGCUCCCUUGGUAGUUUUGGAUCUGCGCCUCGUAACUUCGCGCGAUCUUCUCCACAUCCAUCCCUGCACCACCC
This 320-nucleotide long non-coding RNA is filed under the name Gallus gallus (chicken). Lineage: Eukaryota; Metazoa; Chordata; Aves; Galliformes; Phasianidae. The record is from RNAcentral.